Molecule: long non-coding RNA, 1643 nt
Organism: Cottoperca gobio
Lineage: Eukaryota; Metazoa; Chordata; Actinopteri; Perciformes; Bovichtidae
Source: Ensembl
ACCAAUUAUCCCCCACAGUAUUUAUACCAGCCCAUCACCCGCUCCUGGCUACAUUGUCAAUGUGGCUUAUUGUUUUAGUGGUCCAGCUGCUUCCACACGAACCUGGUAACCUGUGGACUUUUGUUUGGACUUGCUGGUUUUGCCUGAAAGCUUCUGACAGAGGCUUACCUGAGGGGACGUGCAGGACUUCUGCCGACACUAAACGGAUCACGGAAGCAGCUCGCUACACGCCUCGCUGAUGAAGACAUCACCACAUAGCUAUGCAAAGGGAGAGAUGAAACCUCACCGCAGGCACCGUCAUGUUUUAAAGAGCUGUUUUAACUAUUACAACAGUGAACUGAAGAGACACUCGCAUUUAACUCUUCUCGGACUCUGGUGAGUACGCUCUCAGCAGCUCUGGUGCUACCGCUGUGGUGCAGUCCUCCUGUACCACACCUGCACCUUAUACACACAUCAUAAAAUGAAUCCCUUUCACAAUAGCCAGUUUAAAGUGGUAUUAAUGUGUAUUUUGUUUCAGAAUGAGAACAUCUGUAGACUCAAAACUUCAGUUUGUGGUCCAAGUGAAUCAUCACCAUCUGUGGAAAGUGCUGCACCAAGUCAUGGCUCAGGAACCCCUCUGUGACUGUGUGUGUGUGUGUGUGUGUGUGUGUGCGUGUGUGUGUGCAUAGUGCGUGUAAGAGCGAGGUGUACCAGUACUCUAGAGGGCAGCAUGAGACCAUGUAGGAUGAGUAGCACCUCUAAGACUUCUUAAAUGGGGGGGGGGGGUCUAUGAUCUUUGAUAGAUCCAUAGAAAGUAUUAAGAACAACGUGAGGGACAAAUACUCGCACCUGCUUGAAGAUCUGCAGGGGCCAAUCAUAUUCCAGGAGUGGAUUGAUGUUUGCUGAAGUACUUGUGAGAAAUUAUUGAUAAAUAAAUAGACAUUAAUUAAAUGCAUGUGACAGAAGAGAAGCCUAAUCACAGCUGAGCCGUGUGAAUAUUGCCUGAGACAAAAACAAACGAUCGACCCCAAAAAAGGUCAAAUGAUUGUGAAUGACGCUCGAUGCUUGUUAUGAAUUGAAAUCACUUAUAAUUGACGACUAAUAGUUCACUUCAGUUUUUUGAUUUACAACUUUUACUGUCAGCAGAGCAUAUAUUACAACAGCAGUUUAUACAGCAUGUGUCAGAUCAAUCCAUAGAUCACAUGUGAUAAAUAGGCCCACAUUCCAUGUUAGUCCAUGAAAAUCACCUUCACACAGUUUUACAGCAUGUUGAUAACAGGAGCUGAACUCUAUUACAGGAUUGUCCGCUGUCAUCACAGUCCCAGAGUAGACUGAGGAGGGCUGGAAACCCGACUCUGCUGUUUGUGAGUCCAGGGACGAACAAGCAGGAUUAGUCUCGGAAUGAUAAGGCCUCCGAACAUUGUGAACCCGUGCAAACACUCUUUGAGUCUCUAUCCCCUGCCGACAACAUGCUAUGUUUUAACAUUAUGUUCCUACGCUGUGCCAUAUAUCACUAUAUCAAAGAGGCAUUGGGUGAAUCAACACACGGUCAGUUAAGGGGCCACAUGAAGCUAAUGGCACAUGAACAUAUGCUUGUUGGAAGCCACUGGACGGCUAUUGUUUAGAGUUUUUAAAAUAAAUCAUAUUUGAAACAUAUGUAACAU